AGCGAACGCUGGCGGCAGGCUUAACACAUGCAAGUCGAGCGGGCGUAGCAAUACGUCAGCGGCAGACGGGUGAGUAACGCGUGGGAACAUACCUUUUGGUUCGGAACAACACAGGGAAACUUGUGCUAAUACCGGAUAAGCCCUUACGGGGAAAGAUUUAUCGCCGAAAGAUUGGCCCGCGUCUGAUUAGCUAGUUGGUGAGGUAACGGCUCACCAAGGCGACGAUCAGUAGCUGGUCNGAGAGGAUGAUCAGCCACAUUGGGACUGAGACACGGCCCAAACUCCUACGGGAGGCAGCAGUGGGGAAUAUUGGACAAUGGGCGCAAGCCUGAUCCAGCCAUGCCGCGUGAGUGAUGAAGGCCCUA
This 365-nucleotide ribosomal RNA is filed under the name uncultured bacterium. RNAcentral describes it as "bacterial SSU rRNA". It matches the Rfam family "Bacterial small subunit ribosomal RNA", at positions 29 to 419 of the family's 1533-position model. The record is from RNAcentral.